RNAcentral lists this ribosomal RNA (631 nucleotides) under Bacillus subtilis. RNAcentral describes it as "bacterial SSU rRNA". It matches the Rfam family "Bacterial small subunit ribosomal RNA", at positions 88 to 705 of the family's 1533-position model. The record is from RNAcentral. Lineage: Bacteria; Bacillati; Bacillota; Bacilli; Caryophanales; Bacillaceae.
GAUGUUAGCGGCGGACGGGUGAGUAACACGUGGGUAACCUGCCUGUAAGACUGGGAUAACUCCGGGAAACCGGGGCUAAUACCGGAUGGUUGUUUGAACCGCAUGGUUCAAACAUAAAAGGUGGCUUCGGCUACCACUUACAGAUGGAUCCCGCGGCGCAUUAGCUAGUUGGUGAGGUAACGGCUCACCAAGGCGACGAUGCGUAGCCGACCUGAGAGGGUGAUCGCCACACUGGGACUGAGACACGGCCCAGACUCCUACGGGAGGCAGCAGUAGGGAAUCUUCCGCAAUGGACGAAAGUCUGACGGCAACGCCGCGUGAGUGAUGAAGGUUUUCGGAUCGUUAAGCUCUGUUGUUAGGGAAGAACAAGUACCGUUCGAAUAGGGCGGUACCUUGACGGUACCUAACCAGAAAGCCACGGCUAACUACGUGCCAGCAGCCGCGGUAAUACGUAGGUGGCAAGCGCUUGUCCGGAAUUAUUGGGCGUAAAGGGCUCGCAGGCGGUUUCUUAAGUCUGAUGUGAAAGCCCCCGGCUCAUCCGGGGAGGGUCAUUGGAAACUGGGGAACUUGAGUGCAGAAGAGGAGAGUGGAAUUCCACGUGUAGCGGUGAAAUGCGUAGAGAUGUGGAGGA